RNAcentral lists this transfer RNA (88 nucleotides) under Candidatus Bathyarchaeota archaeon. RNAcentral's name for it is "tRNA-Ser". It matches the Rfam family "tRNA". Rfam says of the family: Transfer RNA (tRNA) molecules are approximately 80 nucleotides in length. Their secondary structure includes four short double-helical elements and three loops (D, anti-codon, and T loops). Further hydrogen bonds mediate the characteristic L-shaped molecular structure. tRNAs have two regions of fundamental functional importance: the anti-codon, which is responsible for specific mRNA codon recognition, and the 3' end, to which the tRNAs corresponding amino acid is attached (by aminoacyl-tRNA synthetases). tRNAs cope with the degeneracy of the genetic code in two manners: having more than one tRNA (with a specific anti-codon) for a particular amino acid; and 'wobble' base-pairing, i.e. permitting non-standard base-pairing at the 3rd anti-codon position. Lineage: Archaea; Thermoproteati; Candidatus Bathyarchaeota. RNAcentral also lists the same sequence under 2 other names. The record is from RNAcentral.
GCCGGGGUGGCGGAGCGGUUAACGCGCUGGCCUCGAGAGCCAGUGGGCCUUCGGGCUCGCAGGGGUUCAAAUCCCCUCCCCGGCGCCA